Non-coding RNA from Danio rerio (zebrafish), 2092 nucleotides. The record is from RefSeq and is a predicted model, not a curated record. NCBI's taxonomy places the organism in Eukaryota, Metazoa, Chordata, Actinopteri, Cypriniformes, Danionidae.
GCGAACACAAAGCGUGGCGUUUAAUGGAGAGGUUUUAGGCGGUUUUAAACAGUAAACACGCCGAACUGACCAUAAAAGCUCGACUCUGUGGAAAAGCACCGAGUAUUUUGUGCACACGUGUGCUGUUGAUAGAUUGAAAUUGAACAGCGAGCUAGGGAACAUAACGAAGGAAAUAAUGUGGUAAUGUGUUCGUGAAAGGGUAACCCGUGUUAUGUUGCUGUUUAAACGUUAUGUUUGUCCUUUUUUAGCCGUUGUGAAGAUUAAUGCCCCACCCCUGUGUAUGACUCAAUACCAAUGGUGGUGUUACACAUCAAGUGUUUGUCAGGCUGACAUGCAGGUAGAUGUCUGAUAAAGAGAAACAUAUACCUCAUUGGAAAGAUGGGCUAAUAGAUGUUAAAUUGAUGUCAAAUUGAGACCUCGUUGAAAUGCAAAUAUAGCCUAUUAAUCAGAUUAUUUAUUAUGAUUUAUUUAAUAUACACUUUUAAACUCUUAAUCAGUGUAAACAUUCAAAAUGUGCAAAACAGAUUGACUGACAUGCUUUUUAAAAUAUAUAAAUUCUGUUUAUAGCAGCUGCUAAAUAUUUCUUAUAGACGCCAUGCUUUGUGUUGCAAUCCAUCUCUUGCGAACUUCAUCAGUAGUGCAUACUAUUGCGAAGAUCUGUACUAGAUGUCAUCAGACCCGAUGGCGACAUACAGAUGACCUACAGUAAGCAGGUUGCAGUGACAAACGCUGUAACCCGAGGCAGGGUGCACCAGGCAGUCGGCAGGAUGCCUCCACAAAGCUCAUGGUUUCAAGUUGAGUCAGAGGUUUCGUGUGUGGGUGGAAAGAGGUUUCCUGGGCUGUUCCACCAUCAGAGGCCUGAGUGGGAGACCAACCACUCCUUAAAAUGGAAACAUUUCUGCUGCACGAUGUCACACAUGCUGGAUUGAGACAUAUUGUCACCAUGGGAACAAGCGACGUCCUCACAAAGGCUCUGUCUCAUCUUGAUGGACACUAAUGGUGGUUUACCGACAUGGAAGCGCUGGUCCAAAGUGAUCAGGAAGUCAUGAAUAUCCUCCCUUCAGUUUCCUCCAGCUGAUGACAUCCUUUGGUUGAAAAGGGUACAUUUGUUUUCUUUACAUCUCUAUUCAUUCUGGCCCUUUUAAUUUGUCUUUAACACGUGCAGACACAAAUAGAGUCGACCACAGACAUGUCACUGAAUUAGCCUAGUUUAGGAAAAGGGACAGACCUGUAUAUCAAUGUCUAAGUGGAUUAGCUGUGUGAUUGAGUGGGUUACACUAUAAGCUCACAGAUGUCUCUCUGGAGACUGGCUCCACCACUUCCGCAACUAACUGACUAAUCUUGUUAGCAGCAAUGCUAUUAGCAUAACAAAACACUUAAAAGAGACCAUUUGAACUUCACUUUGCUUCUUUUUUAACUAUUUAGAUGUCAGUGAUACCAGUGAAAAGCUCAACUCAGGCACUGUUAAGACCUGGGGUUUAAAUGUGAUUUUAUCAAUCCAGUCACAAAUGCACAGACACUAAAUACAGAAGUAAGUGGUGGAAAUUUGACAGGAUAAAUGCUCAUUUGGAGGAGUGCAGAUGGUUGAACACCACAAAAACCAUCUCUCUGCCCAUUGACCUAAUUCUUAAACAUCACUGGACACGUUGUUGUGCACUAGCACAUGCAGGAAUGUCAGAUGUGAUCCUAACACACUCAAAAAAUAACAAUAAUUCUUGGUCAUUGUGUCAAAUAUGGACAAACAUAAGUGAUUUUUUUUUCAGAUUAUAUUGCAGUUUAUAUUACACAUUUUUACCCAGUGGUUGGGUUUAUUCACGUUUGACCCAACAUUGAGUUAAACAACCCAGAAUUCUUUAGAUUGCACAGUGUUUAGUGUAGUUCUGUGGUGACAAGAGCAGAAACGAAAGCUGCUGCUCCUCUCUUUGUUGUUAAAUUGGAUUGAAAGAUCAGACAAGGCAUGUAUAACCACCCAUAGACCCCUUCUGUCAAAGAUACCAUUAAAGUCAUUAAAAGUGUACAAAUUUCGAGGGGGGCUUACUGCCGAGUCACAUGGGUGACUCUGCAGUGAGUACCACUUGCAAAUUUCAACAGU